CAGUAGCCGCGGUAAUACGUAGGGUGCGAGCGUUGUCCGGAAUUACUGGGCGUAAAGGGCUCGUAAGUGGUUUGUCGCGUCGUCUGUGAAAUUCCGGGGCUUAACUCCGGGCGUGCAGGCGAUACGGGCAUAACUUGAGUACUGUAGGGGUAACUGGAAUUCCUGGUGUAGCGGUGAAAUACGCAGAUAUCAGGAGGAACACCGAUGGCGAAGGCAGGUUACUGGGCAGUUACUGACGCUGAGGAGCGAAAGCAUGGGUAGCGAACAGGAUUAGAUACCCCCGUAGUCCCUGUCUCUUAUA
RNAcentral lists this ribosomal RNA (301 nucleotides) under uncultured bacterium. RNAcentral's name for it is "partial 16S ribosomal RNA". It matches the Rfam family "Bacterial small subunit ribosomal RNA", at positions 509 to 808 of the family's 1533-position model. The record is from RNAcentral.